UCCUAUAGCGCGACUUGAAAUGGUAAUCUUUGAUUGAGGACCCAACAAAUUCAUUGUCCAUUUUGGUCAAUUUCACUAUCAUAGGAUUUAAAAUAGCUGAAAUCAGGAAACUUGUGAAGAUUUUUCAAAACAGAAUUUUCAGUGUUUGUAACUGUAGGGAUCCUGACCUAAAAAGGAGUUUGGGGGAGCCACAAAUUGAGAGUGGGGAUUUGCAGUGCAGCUACUCUCCAGUGCUUCUGCUGGCUCUACCUUCAGAGUGGGGCAGCUGGAGGAUGGUGGCUGUUGGUCAGGAGCCGACUCCAAAGGCAGAGUAGCAACAAAGAAGGAUGGCAUAGCAGCACAGUGCCUCAUCAAGUGUCAGCUUUAAGACUAAGAUUAUGGUAAUACCAGACUUCUGUGAUCAAUCGUACAAGAAGAAAUCUGAACGUUAGUAAAUUCAACGACUUGCCCAUUCAUCCUGAUUUCCUGCUUGCAAAAGAAGAUUGUGAUAUCGCCAGAAGGUUCUUACAUUGGGAUAGGUCUCUGCAGAAAUUUGGCAGUGGGAGAUGUUGAGGAAGAGCUAGAAUAAUACACCCGUCUGCUUCACCCACCCACCUAAACACUCCCCUCCCUCCUACUCUAAAAUUUGAGAAGCUUAAUAUGUAAGAAGAUUAUUAAUAAACAAAUUGAACUUUAAAAAAAUAAAAGCACUUUUCAAGUUGGCACUACAUAAAAUAUUAUAUCUAAAAUAUUAAAGAUUCAUAAAUAUAAACUUGAUAGCAA
This is a non-coding RNA of Pelodiscus sinensis (Chinese soft-shelled turtle), 762 nucleotides long. Lineage: Eukaryota; Metazoa; Chordata; Testudines; Trionychidae. The record is from RefSeq and is a predicted model, not a curated record.